RNAcentral lists this ribosomal RNA (206 nucleotides) under uncultured bacterium. Its description in RNAcentral is "partial 16S ribosomal RNA". It matches the Rfam family "Bacterial small subunit ribosomal RNA", at positions 568 to 774 of the family's 1533-position model. The record is from RNAcentral.
AGCGUAGACGGACUGGCAAGUCUGAUGUGAAAGGCGGGGGCUCAACCCAUAAACUGCAUUUGAAACUGUAGAGCUUGAGUGAAGUAGAGGCAGGCGGAAUUCCCCGUGUAGCGGUGAAAUGCGUAGAGAUGGGGAGGAACACCAGUGGCGAAGGCGGCCUGCUGGGCUUUAACUGACGCUGAGGCACGAAAGCGUGGUAGCAAACA